AAUGGGCGAAAGCCUGACGCAGCGACGCCGCGUGAGUGAUGAAGGCCUUCGGGUUGUAAAGCUCUGUGGGGAGAGACGAAUAAGUGCAGGCUAAUACCCUGCAUGAUGACGGUAUCUCCUUAGCAAGCACCGGCUAACUCUGUGCCAGCAGCCGCGGUAAGACAGAGGGUGCAAACGUUGUUCGGAAUUACUGGGCGUAAAGCGAGUGUAGGCGGUCUCGUAAGUCGGAUGUGAAAGCCCAGGGCUCAACCCUGGAAGUGCACUCGAUACUGCGAGGCUAGAGUACUGGAGAGGUUGGUGGAAUUCUCGGUGUAGAGGUGAAAUUCGUAGAUAUCGAGAGGAACACCGGUGGCGAAGGCGGCCAACUGGACAGAUACUGACGCUGAGACUCGAAAGCGUGGGGAGCAAA
This 409-nucleotide ribosomal RNA is filed under the name uncultured bacterium. Its description in RNAcentral is "bacterial SSU rRNA". It matches the Rfam family "Bacterial small subunit ribosomal RNA", at positions 370 to 772 of the family's 1533-position model. The record is from RNAcentral.